Non-coding RNA from Peromyscus maniculatus bairdii (prairie deer mouse), 5355 nucleotides. NCBI's taxonomy places the organism in Eukaryota, Metazoa, Chordata, Mammalia, Rodentia, Cricetidae. The record is from RefSeq and is a predicted model, not a curated record.
UUACAGCCCUAAUAAACUUCCCGUACUCCAGUUCUGCUUCCCAGAGACCACAGGAAAUGAUAUUGCCAACUUAUCUCCUAACAUGACAGACGUGGUUUUGAAAUUCAUGCUAACAUGCGGUGUGGAAUAUUUAGGGGGUAGCUUCUUUGUUCGUCAUUCUGUGCGAGGUUUGUACUGUACACAACAGUCAUUGGUUCUUUAUUAUUGUAAGAUUUCCGUCAUUCUUUAGGGAAGUAGACUAUAGCGUACUUUAGUGCUCUUGACCUUUUAAAUCUUUUCCCACUUAAGGUUAUUACAGGCAAUGCCACAGUGACCUUUUCUGUAUGUGCCUUUGCUUGUGUGCCCAUGUAAGAAGUGCUGUUGGGAGUACCCCUGAGCUACAGCCUCUGCUGGGUAAGGCAAAUUCAUGUCUAGCCUAGUGGGCAUCAUAGAGAAAUGGCCAAAGGAUUGUGCCAAUUUAUACCCCAAUUAAUGGAGUAUGAGAGUUCUUUCUAGCCCUUGUCAGAAAAGAUUCGGAAUCUCUGAUGUAGGCAAAGAAGGAGAGGAACUGAGGUUCUAAGACAGAAAAGGCCUUGUUAUGUCAUCACGGAAGGAAGAGCAGCUUGUUUAGGAGGGAGAGACCCGGGGGAUGGGAUGCAGUUUGUAUCAGACAUCCGCAGACUUUUCUAAAACGGACAGAUAGUGAUGGGUUCUGCCAGCCACAUGUCUUUGUUGCCACUGGCCAGCUUGGCUAUCGUAAGUGAAAAGCAGUCACAAGACUGAGGAAACUCAAAGUGGGGUCGGAGUUGGGGGCUGCUCAUCGUGGGGAGAGAGGCCAACUCAGCCUUCCGCUCGCCCCGAGCUCUGCGGCAUUCAGUCCAGACCUGGUAUCACAAAGUCCCUCAUCUUCUAAUCCACAGUAGUGGGUGAUGUUCUGAGCAUCCCACUUAAAAGGGCGGCCCAGGCUGAGAUGUGGGAGGACGACACCCAGAUCCUGGACAGCUGUGCAGCGCUGACCUUGGUUGAAAGAUGUCUUCAGGGAAUACCUUUUCAUGAUGCAAAAAGGUUCCUGUCAGCUCCAGUAAUCUAUAACUCAUCAUCCAUUCAAUGAAUAAAUAUCAAGUCUUUUGCACAGAAUAAGAAACAAAAUUCUUGCUCUUGUGGAGUUUGAGGCUGAUAAGAAAUGAAUUACAAAACAGAAUAAUAAGCAAGUAUAAUAAAUGUUACAGAGAUAUUAAGUAGGCCAAUGGAAUGGAUUAAAACUACUUUAGACAGGGUCUCAACAAAGAAAGCCACUCCGAGGUAGGAUAAAGAAUAAAACCCAACUGUACUCAGAGCAGCAGGCGGCCCAUCUGAGGAGGGUGAUGCUCUAGGCAUGAAGUAACUUGGAUGAGGAAGGAACAAAACUUAGCAGUGUACCUACGACAUGGUGAAUUAUCAAAAGUGAGGUCAGAGAAAUAGCCAGAAGGUAGAUCAGACAUAUUUGAUUUCAAGAGCGAGAGGACCCAUGAAGCAUCCUAUGUAGGCAUGGGACAGAAUCCGAUGUGCUGUUAGAUGACUGCAUGGACUGCUGUAUGGAGAACGAGUUUUAAGGAAGAAGAUAGAAACAAGAAGAGGGUGAGAACUAAGUAACCACAUAGCAAUGAAGGUAAUACCGGAAAGGAAGGUAUCGAUGGAUCCAAACAGGAGCAAGAAAACUGAACGCCGGUUUGCGGGUGAAGCUGAAGGCCCUUGUAAAGGGUCCAGGUUUACAUCUUAAGCACAUUAGCAGGACGAGCCAUGGACUUGGAUCAAACCAGAAGGAAAAGAAGAAUUUCAAAGGAGAGGCAAUUUGGCGACUUGGUCCUAUGUAGGAAAGCUGUCUUUGUAGACCUCUUAAUCAGCCUUAUUGUCUUUUGAUGCAUAGAGAGAGGCAACACUUCUCCGUAGACCUUGUUCUGCCCUCAUAUGGCUAGGUAAGUGAAAAAUCAAUCUAUUGAUUCCCUUGAAAGGGCACAUGAAGGCAAGAUAUGUUCCAGACACAAGAUCAUCUUCUUUCUGGCUGAACCGCAGACGCCUCAAUUCAAUCAGUGUAGUUUCUACCUAGUCAGAACUUAACUCAGACAUCUUAAAAACCACUUGGGGUUUACCUACAUGCCCUAAAGCCAAUUGGCUACACAAGGAAAGAUAGAGGCAUAGUGUUUGUGCCUGUGUGCUUCCUCCCCCUUCCCCCCACCCCUCGAUCCAUCAAUCCCUUGAUCCCCCUCUCCCUCUCUCUAGUCUCCCCGUUCUUUUUUAAUUCUGAAAUGAUUUUAGAUUUACAGGAAGGCAUAGAGCGUUCUCAUGUAGCUCUCACCGUGUCUUCCCAAGUCACAUCCUGCAUAGCUAUGAGAUGGUAUUGAACCCAGGAAACCGACACCGGUGCGGUGUACGCGUUUAGCUCCGCUCCAUUUUAUUAUGUGUUCAGACUCCAGUAGCCAUCAAAAUCAAAUUAUGGCCCACACCGAGACCUAUUAGUGUCCACAUCCUACCACUUGGAGUGAAGUACAGGUACUUCUGUCCACUUGAGUCCCUUUGCUCGCCCAGACUCACCACUACUUUCUGUGAGCCGUCUCCCGGGCUCCCCUCCUCACAGCGAACUCAACUUUAGACAUGCCAUGCUUUUAGCGAUGACUGUCAAACAUAAUUUAGAAAGCCCGAGUAGAAGGAAAGUUGGCUGUGUGCUCUCCUAUUUUUACUCACUCCCUCAUCUUUUUUUCUUCCAUCCCAGACAUUCUAAGAUUCUUUCUUUGUCAUUUCCUUUCUGUUUCAAGAGCCCCCCUCCCCCAUUUGCCAUCCUUUUAGGGUGGGGGUGCUGCCAGCAACAAAGACUCUUGCUUUGCCUCCAUCUGAGAAGUCUGGACUGGCCCUCCCCAAGGAUAACUUCACAGGAUACAGACUUCCAAACUGGCGGUCAUUUUCUUCCGGCUUCGAAGACACACCGUGCCUUUUGGUUCUGGCCUUCCUGAUUUCUGAUGAAGAGGUCACUGUUGUUUGAGCACAUUUUACAUUGUGGGGGAAGCUACUUCUUUCCCUCUCUGCUUUCAAGAUGGUUUUUUUUGGGUUUUUCUUUAGUUUUCUGAAGCUCGUUGCCUUGUGUCUGAGUCUGGCUUCUUCGGGCUAGCCUCCCCACUUCUUGAGAAUGUAGGCGUCACGGUUUUCCCCCAGUUGGGAUCUUUUCAGUGCCAUUGUUCUCUCCAGAGGCAGGACUAGGUCUACUCUCAUUGUCCGCCCUGGUCAGAGUGAUUUUGUUCACUGGUUUUGAUUUUUUUGUUUUUGCUUUUUUAAAUCUCUGUUGCUCAGAUUAAAUGAAGUCUAUUUUUCUGUCUUGGAAUUUAGAGGUUCUUCCCUCUGACCACUCUGUUCUUCUGGUAACCUCAUCUACUGUUUCUUUAUUUGGUUGUUGUAUUUUUCAUAGAUUUUUACUUGGUCCUCCUCUUACAUUUCUAGUUUCUUUCUGGCACUUUUUUUUCCCUUUGAGCACAUUCACAGUCAAAUUCUGUUGAAGAAUUUUUAUGAUGGCUGCUUUAAACUACUUGUCAAAUAAUAUGGACUUGUGUGACACCAUAGGAUCCAAGUCUGUGAUUGGUUGGAAGAUGGGCAGGGUCUACCAAAGAUCUGUGGGUUGUUGUCUUACUCCUCAGGGUGGCACCACUGAGAAGUACUGUGGACCUUUUGGCCACUGACUGAUGGGCAUUUCUGAGGUCAUUUGGACGUGGCAUAAAGAGGGUCGUGGGGCCUUGACCUGUCCUCUUUCUCUUUUGCUUUCUGGCCAAAUGUAACCAGUUUGGUUUUGCACAUGCUCUGUCCUUAUGUCGCCUAAAUGCCUGCCAGAGGCUCAAAGCACUCAAAGCUGGAGCCUCCAAAACCAUGAGCCAACAUAACCUUUGCUCUUUAUCUGUUUCUUCCCUCAAGUGUUUCAUUAUUGUAAUGCAAAGCUGAUGACUCCCCCUCGAUUUUCUUUUAUAUGGCUCUUUAAUUUUCACACCAUCGUCAAAUAUAUUUGACUAUCCCUUCUAAGGACAAGCGUGUUUGAAAAUUGCCUCUGAAACCGAGUAGUGGGUGGCACACCCCUAUAAUCCCAUCACUCACACUCCGAAGGCAGAAGCAAGCCGAUCUCUGAGUUCAAGACCAGUCUGGUCUAUAGCACAAGUCUCAGGACAGCUCGGGCUACAGACCCAGACAGUCUUGAGAGGCAGGUGGCCCUGCUGGUGACUAAAAUGCCUCCAUGCCCCUCUAGUGUGGAGACACACAAUGUGUUACCACUCUUGGAAGCUAUCUGUCUUUCCUUGGCCUAACUUCUAGGCAGCUCUUUUCUCCUUCUGCCUCUUAGCCCUGAGGGAAAAAAGAGAUAUGCCUAUCUAUCCUUUGCUUGCAUGAAGGAGAGGGAGUGUUUUUUAAGGAGCGCUAGGUGAUUUUUGAAGCCACUGUGGAGGACUUGGCUUAUCUUUUCGAAGAGAAGGAAGACUCAGGCCCACAGCAAAGUAGCACUGGUUCCUAUUCCUCCCCUCCCUUCCCCCCCUCCCCUCCCCCCGGAACAAAGAGCUUGCUUUUUCUAAGCUGCACAAAUGAAUAAUGCAGUUAUAUUUGCAUAUUCUAUUACAUUAGAUUUCUCCAAAAAUUUACAUAUAAAGUACUUAUGUCAGUAUCUGGAAAGUAAUGAGAGUCAUUAAAAGUACUGCUAAUGCUCCGCUCCACGUGAUCUUUUCCUACAUGUCUGACUCUGAGCCCAGGUUACAAGAACUGACCUCUUUCUCUCAUCCAAUUGCAAACCGGUGAGAACUGACAUCACAGACGGCCUGGAAGGGGAAAGCAGGUGGUAACAGGGCAGCAUGGGGUGUGAAGGGCAAGGACAUGGGGGAGGCAGGACAGCCUUGUCUUCCUCGCCCUCUGCCAACAGGCUCUCCUUCUCAGCGCCUGGCAGGCUCCUCCUCCCCAGCUGUCUGUCUGAGUCAGUCAGUGCACAGCUGAUGUCCACAACACAAGUGACAGAGACACAGAAUGAGGAAAAACCUGCCUGGCAGACCCCCCGGGAGAGCUGGACACCAGGUUGACCACCAUCUGUCGAGGCUGAGGACCCAGACAAGGGUAAAGAAGUCAACAAAUGGCCUCGUUUGUGUUUAGCCAGGGUCAAGGCUGUUAAGAAGAAAGUCAGAGAGCUGAGCUGUAGGUCUGUCCGUCUCAACAAAAUGGUGACAUUCUGCAUCUGUAAAGUGGAAGGUCUGUCUAAAACUGGGAGAAAGAGAUGAGCCCUGCUUCUUCUUUUCUCAGCCAAGUGUAAACGCAGUCGGUCCCAGCACUCUGCAGGCUGAGGCAGGACCCAUGAGUUCAGCAGCAGGCUGGGUAACAUAGCAAGAA